GGGCUGGUGAUUCCUGAGGGAGCCCUGCCCCCUUCCAGGGUGAAUUUUCCUAAGUCACCAUGGAGAACCAGCAGCCCAGAAUCAGUGCCCUGCCAGGCAGAAUUGCUUGGCCAUAACAAAGAUCCAUUGCCUUUCUGAUGACACCCAGCACCUCGGAUUCUGUAUACACGGGAGGUGAUUUAAGCAUCUUACUGCCACCCUGAAAUCUGGGGUCCUUUAUCCUGGCAGGGCUGGUCGUCCUUACAGGAUUUUCCCUUGUUCUCAGCAUCUAGACCCGUAACGCCCACUUCAGAAUGGGAGGGAGGAUGUCUGCUGCCCUGUCGUCUCCACACCCGAGGAAUGUCCGUGUGUGUGUGUGUGUGGUGUGCACAGCGGGCUGCACACAGCGGGCUCCACGGUGCUCGAAUGGAGGCCCUAAUGUGAAUGGAGACUAGCCUGCUGGUAGAGACCUUGGCAGUGACCGCUGUGGGCAAUGAGCCAUGGGCCAACAAUAUUCAAUGCUGUGUACCUGAUGGAUGGUUACUGUCUGAGACUGAGGCUUUUUGGGCCAGGAGUAAAAGGACUUGGUUUGUACUUGAUUGCGUCCUGUGGAUGCUUGCCUACCAACUGACUCAUCCUGACGUGCCAAAGGUCCUGGCUUUCCCCUGUGUGGAGCAUCACUAUCAAACAGUUCACUGUGGACUCCUCGUAGCAGAAGUACAGUAGGGGACAGCAAGUGUCAGCUCCAUCAGGACCCCUGAUUUAAUUAUUUACUGUGGAACCAUUGUCCUGAGUCAGGAGGAUAGAUGAGGAAAGAAUGAGAGCGUGGCUGGCAUCGCUUCAUGAUUACAUUCUGGGAAAGAUCUUGCCUGUUAACCUCUAGAGAAGGAGGGACGAUACAGACAAUGAAGACUAUAGCAGACUGAAUUACUCUCUGAGAUGAGGACUUUGCUAUUGCCAUUGCAGAACCACUGGUGGAAGUUGUUGUUAAACAGUGGGUCUUGCAUGCAAGCUCUACAGUUAUGCACAGUAUUUCCAUGACAUCCCAAGCCAUGAGGUUCAUGCUGCCAUAUCCCCCUGUUUAACAAGUGUGGAAACUGAUAAUGGACUCACAAUUGCUGAUGUAUAGGUUCUAAUGUUUUCUAUUGUGGACACGGGACACCCAGACUGAGAACCAAUGGCUCCAGUCUGAUUUAAACAUGGGUCCGUGCUCACACACUCAAUACCUACCCUCUGUGCUC
RNAcentral lists this long non-coding RNA (1220 nucleotides) under Mus musculus (house mouse). RNAcentral's name for it is "RNA imprinted and accumulated in nucleus". Lineage: Eukaryota; Metazoa; Chordata; Mammalia; Rodentia; Muridae. The record is from RNAcentral.